Molecule: ribosomal RNA, 252 nt
Filed under: uncultured bacterium
Lineage: Bacteria
Description: partial 16S ribosomal RNA
Rfam family: Bacterial small subunit ribosomal RNA
Source: RNAcentral
UACGUAGGUCCCGAGCGUUGUCCGGAUUUAUUGGGCGUAAAGCGAGCGCAGGUGGUUUAUUAAGUCUGGUGUAAAAGGCAGUGGCUCAACCAUUGUAUGCAUUGGAAACUGGUAGACUUGAGUGCAGGAGAGGAGAGUGGAAUUCCAUGUGUAGCGGUGAAAUGCGUAGAUAUAUGGAGGAACACCGGUGGCGAAAGCGGCUCUCUGGCCUGUAACUGACACUGAGGCACGAAAGCGUGGGGAGCGAACAGG